Molecule: transfer RNA, 70 nt
Filed under: Dipodomys ordii (Ord's kangaroo rat)
Lineage: Eukaryota; Metazoa; Chordata; Mammalia; Rodentia; Heteromyidae
Rfam family: tRNA
About the family: Transfer RNA (tRNA) molecules are approximately 80 nucleotides in length. Their secondary structure includes four short double-helical elements and three loops (D, anti-codon, and T loops).
Source: Rfam by way of RNAcentral
GGCUAUGUAGCUCAGUGGUAGAGUACUUGCCUAGCACACAUGAAGCCCUAGGUUCAAUUCCUCAGUACCA